GGAAAAAGAGAGGAAAAAGAAGGAAAAAGAGAGGAAGGAAAGGAAGGAGAAGAAGGAGAAGAAGGCUUGGAAGCUCUUCUUCAUCUCAUUCUUGGCUUAGGGCUUGCUUUGGAGCAAACCCUAGAGGCGAAGACGGUUCGUCGAUCCGACAAGUGGGUGCGAAGAUAUCGCCAUUUGUUGUGCUAAGGGGUUAAAGCUAACCCAACAAAAAUUAAGCGGCGACAAGACUAGCACGAGAACGCGUCUCGGAGUGUUUUCGGCAUCACCCAAGGUACACAGGACAGCGGGCCUUCGUCGAUGGAUCGCGGUAAGGGCAUAGCGCCCUAGCUUUGAUAGAUAGCUUCCUUCACCUACUUGCAUUAGCUCUAUACCCUGUACUUUUGGUUAUGCUUUGAGAGUAGAUGAUGUAUAGGGUGAGGUUUU
Ananas comosus (pineapple) is the source of this 423-nucleotide long non-coding RNA. RefSeq lists it as uncharacterized. The record is from RefSeq and is a predicted model, not a curated record. NCBI's taxonomy places the organism in Eukaryota, Viridiplantae, Streptophyta, Magnoliopsida, Poales, Bromeliaceae. The transcript is spliced from 3 exons.